UACAACCAUAUCACGUUGAAACACCGGUCCCCGUACGAACACUGAAGUUAAACAACGUCAAACUUGGUCAGUACCGAGAUGGGUGACCGCUUGGGAAUCCCAGGUACUUC
Non-coding RNA from Acanthosepion pharaonis, 110 nucleotides. The record is from the annotation of a GenBank genome assembly. Lineage: Eukaryota; Metazoa; Mollusca; Cephalopoda; Sepiida; Sepiidae.